This 482-nucleotide ribosomal RNA is filed under the name uncultured bacterium. RNAcentral's name for it is "partial 16S ribosomal RNA". It matches the Rfam family "Bacterial small subunit ribosomal RNA", at positions 30 to 507 of the family's 1533-position model. The record is from RNAcentral.
AUUGAACGCUGGCGGCAUGCUUUACACAUGCAAGUCGAACGGUAACAGCACUUCGGUGGCUGACGAGUGGCGAACGGGUGAGUAAUACAUCGGAACGUGCCUAGUAGUGGGGGAUAACUACUCGAAAGAGUAGCUAAUACCGCAUGAGAUCUAAGGAUGAAAGCAGGGGACCUUCGGGCCUUGCGCUACUAGAGCGGCUGAUGGCAGAUUAGGUAGUUGGUGGGAUAAAAGCUUACCAAGCCGACGAUCUGUAGCUGGUCUGAGAGGACGACCAGCCACACUGGGACUGAGACACGGCCCAGACUCCUACGGGAGGCAGCAGUGGGGAAUUUUGGACAAUGGGCGCAAGCCUGAUCCAGCAAUGCCGCGUGCAGGAUGAAGGCCUUCGGGUUGUAAACUGCUUCUGUACGGAACGAAAAGCCCUCUUCUAAUACAGGAGGGUCAUGACGGUACCGGAAGAAUAAGCACCGGCUAACUACGUG